Molecule: ribosomal RNA, 571 nt
Filed under: uncultured organism
Description: eukaryotic LSU rRNA
Rfam family: 5.8S ribosomal RNA (bases 197-350)
Source: RNAcentral
UUCCGUAGGUGAACCUGCGGAGGGAUCAUUACACAAAUAUGAAGGCGGGCUGGAACCUCUCGGGGUUACAGCCUUGCUGAAUUAUUCACCCUUGUCUUUUGCGUACUUCUUGUUUCCUUGGUGGGUUCGCCCACCACUAGGACAAACAUAAACCUUUUGUAAUUGCAAUCAGCGUCAGUAACAAAUUAAUAAUUACAACUUUCAACAACGGAUCUCUUGGUUCUGGCAUCGAUGAACAACGCAACGAAAUGCGAUAAGUAGUGUGAAUUGCAGAAUUCAGAGAAUCAUCGAAUCUUUGAACGCACAUUGCGCCCUUUGGUAUUCCAAAGGGCAUGCCUGUUCGAGCGUCAUUUGUACCCUCAAGCUUUGCUUGGUGUUGGGCGUCUUGUCUCUAGCUUUGCUGGAGACUCGCCUUAAAGUAAUUGGCAGCCGGCCUACUGGUUUCGGAGCGCAGCACAAGUCGCACUCUCUAUCAGCAAAGGUCUAGCAUCCAUUAAGCCUUUUUUUCAACUUUUGACCUCGGAUCAGGUAGGGAUACCCGCUGAACUUAAGCAUAUCAAUAAGCGGAGGA